Molecule: long non-coding RNA, 1203 nt
Filed under: Mus pahari (shrew mouse)
Lineage: Eukaryota; Metazoa; Chordata; Mammalia; Rodentia; Muridae
Description: lncRNA (MGP_PahariEiJ_G0002494.1)
Source: RNAcentral
ACACUCUUAAGAAAGCAGAGAAGUGCGUCACCGAAAGCUCUUUAACUUGGAGUGUGGAGAGUAAAAUAAAACUGUUUGUUCUUUGAUAAAAAAUAUUUAAAAUAUAAAAAUGAAAAGAAGGAAAGAAGAGAAACCCCAUAGCAGUUUCAAAACUAACAGACAUCCCCCUGGAAUAUUUACAGGUUUAAAGGCACAUGUGUGUGUGUGUUUUUAGAAGAGCAGGACGAAGAACAUGGCUGCUGCCCACUGUCCCCAGAGGACUGGCAGGGUUGUGGCAGCUUGAUAUGUAUAUGUAUGUGGGCACACAGGGGGAUGUCAUGCUAGGGUCAAUGUUAAGGGAGAUACUCAUCACAGAACCUAUGCCAGGCAGAAUCAGAGUUACCUGAUGUAUGGAGCGUGCUUCGCACCCGAUUUCCUAGAUGACAAAGCACAGAGGCACAGAUUAAGACAAUGUCGCCGAUCAAGAUGUGAGCUCUCAGCUUUUCCAGCCACCGUGUCUUUGCUCUGCAAUCAUGAACUCUCUGGAACUGGAAGCCCCAAACCACAUGCUUUCUUUUAAGUUGUCUCAGCCAUGGGGUUUUAUCACGGCAAUAGAACAGAAGCUAAGACAGACCCCGUGGUCUUUUAUGUGCUAGGGAAGUGCUCUCCCAUUGGCCACACAGCCCCAGGCCAGUGACAUCAUUCUUCAUGAGUUUUCUUGAGACAAAUGUUGACUGAAUCAUCAACUAAGGGAACCUUUUCUGUGGUAAGCCAGGUCUUCUGGCACAGUGAUAACUAUUUCAUAAAUACAUAAUAUCUUGUCAUAACUAGAUUGCAAAUGGAGUCCACAGCACAUCUGUGUCAAAUGAGGAAAACCUUGCAAAUAUUAACUCAUAUAAUCAGUUUUCAAGAUUCAUUAUGGUGGUACAACCCAGUCAUCCCAGGACAGGCUCCAUACCAGCCUUUAGAGUAAGACUCUGGUAAAGAAAAAGCUUCACAACAAGUUCAGAUGGCUGUGUGUGGUGGUACAUGCCUGUAAUCUCAGCACCCAGCAAGACUGUUGCAGGUUCAAGGCCAGCCUAGUCUACACGGCAAGCCCUGUCUUGAAGGGGGUUACGGGAAAGAGAGAUGGACAAGGAGAGAAAACCAGUCUUCUUCAUUACCUAUUUCUGCAUAAUUUAUUAUUUAAUUUUGUUAUUGAUAAUAAAGGAUGCCAAAAAAUGG